Long non-coding RNA from Oncorhynchus gorbuscha (pink salmon), 607 nucleotides. RefSeq lists it as uncharacterized. The record is from RefSeq and is a predicted model, not a curated record. Lineage: Eukaryota; Metazoa; Chordata; Actinopteri; Salmoniformes; Salmonidae. The transcript has 3 exons.
AGUUGAAUGUGCAGUCUCCAUGCAACAUUAUAAUUAGCCUUUCAGUUACAUUUCAUUUGUUUGAAAGGUACAGCACCAUUGAUGGCUUGAACACAGUGGGUGAAUAGUUUCCUGUGUCCCGGUGGGUGGCUGGUGGGUGGCUGUACUCACCAGAAUCAGAGAGGGCUCUGUUGGAACCUCCAGGCAGGCUGUCAAUCGAGGCUGAAGAAACGAUUGCAGAGCAAUCUGAGAUGGUGGGUAUCAAGGCUUGCGGAAAUGACCUACUAAGGAUGAAAGGACUGCAUCAAAAGUAUCACCUCACACAAGGACCUCCCAGUGAGGACGUUUGUUUGGUUCCUCACAGUGAUCAAAGAACUGAUGAUGAUGAUUCCCGUCGUCAGGAGGACAGACUUCUCAACCAUCUGGUUCUUUAAUGAUUCAUCACACAAAAAUGCUGCCUCAUCAGGGUUUGGUUGGUUUGCCUGUUUUCCUCCUUCUCAGCCUUGUGGAAGCACCACUGCAUCACUGGAUUUGUCUGAAAUGGCACCCUAUUCCCUAUGGGCUCUGGUCAAAAGUGUAGGGAAUAAAGGGCCAUUUGGGACACACAAAACUGUCUGUCUUCCACUUU